GAAAUGCGAUAAGUAAUGUGAAUUGAAGAAUUCAGUGAAUCAUCGAAUCUUUGAACGCACCUUGCGCUCCUUGGUAUUCAUUGGAGCAUGCCUGUUUGAGUAUCAUGAAAUCUUCAAAGUAAAUCUUUUGUUAACUCAAUUGGUUUCUACUUUGGUAUUGGAGGUCUUUGCAGCUUCACACCUGCUCCUCUUUGUUCAUUAGCUGGAUCUCAGUGUUAUGCUUGGUUCCACUCGGCGUGAUAAGUUAUCUAUCGCUGAGGACACUGUAAAAGGUGGCCAAGGUAAAUGCAGAUGAACCGCUUCUAAUAGUCCAUUGACUUGGACAAUACUUUUAUGAUCUGAUCUCAAAUCAGGUAGGACUACCCGCUGAACUUAAGC
RNAcentral lists this unclassified non-coding RNA (378 nucleotides) under plant metagenome. RNAcentral's name for it is "partial contains 5.8S ribosomal RNA, internal transcribed spacer 2, and large subunit ribosomal RNA". The stretch from base 1 to 105 matches the Rfam family "5.8S ribosomal RNA", at positions 50 to 154 of the family's 154-position model. The record is from RNAcentral.